AUAGUUACUUGGGACAACAGUUUUAGCAGGGCUCUCUCCUUUCCUGAUCUCUGUGUUAAGCUGCCUGCCUCAUUUGAUAUCACAUCCAAAUUAUCAGCUGAUUGCUCUGUUGUUUUGGACAAUGCCCUGGGGCAUACCAAAAUGUGUCUGGAAUUGGUGGGUUCUUGGUCUUACUGACUUUAAGAAUAAAGUUGCAGACUUUUGUGUAAGAAGAAAGCCCAAAGACAAAACCAGAGACAACUGGCUGCUGCAUCGCCCACCCAGUGGCAGUAGUGUGAGCUAUGGACAAAAGAUCUAAGUCUCCGGGACAAAGAGUUGUGCAGCUGCUCAUUUUCCUGUUGACUUCUAAGACUUGGAGAUUUUUGUGAGAUUGGGACCUAUCUACAGAGCUCCAGAGGGAAGUGAGAAGGAUGUUCACUUGCUGGUGAGAGAAGGAGCUGGUUCCAUCCAUUAUGCAGUCCCCUGGGAGCGCUAAAUGCAACUUUAUCUCAACGGGGAGUGGACGAUGAGCAGGACGUCGCUAGAGGGAAAGAGCCUCACUUCCCGUUUCCUUUGGCAGCGCCCUUUU
RNAcentral lists this non-coding RNA (568 nucleotides) under Pongo abelii (Sumatran orangutan). The record is from RNAcentral. Lineage: Eukaryota; Metazoa; Chordata; Mammalia; Primates; Hominidae.